GGGUUUGCCGGAUAAGUCCACUGAGAUCAGGCUGCAUGGAUCGGCUGGUCAGGGCUUCUGUGCGUUCCUAGCCCGUGGCGUGCACUUGGAACUUGGAGGGCGACGCCAGUGACUAUGUUUCCAAGGUAACCAACACCCCUCCCCCAACUCUUGCAUACUAAUUUUUGUCGUUAUUUGCAUUCCUGUUUAUAUUCUGACUGAUUAAUAUCAUGAUUUAUGAUAUCCAGUGAUUUAUGCUUACAACCUUCAUAGAAAAUACUCCAUGCAUUGACUGUACAUAAUUUUUGGUGCUUUGCCCUGUAUUUACAAGUCGGUUCAAGGAAUUUGUCCUAAGAUGCUGUUGUAUGUUUUACCCCAAAAUCUCAUCUUGUCUUUUUGCCAACUAAUAACAGAAGUUUUUACUCUCACAAGUAAAGACCACUUCUAAUUAGAAAUACCAUUGUAAGUGUACACUUUGCGUUCAGAAGUGCAAACAAUGUUUAAACAGCUCCCUUACAAACCUGGCAAGCAGUUUUCAGAAUGACGCCUGAGCUGGACCAAGAGAGGGCGCAAUUUUCUAGCAUCGGCAGCUCCUUUGGUUGGAACUGCCACUUGUGUGGCUCACAAACGACUAUGGGAUGCACGCAUUACGGGCACCUCGCUAACAGCAAAAUGAACACUGCCUACUGACGUAGCUAUUUUCCAACCAGUGUGAGGAAGAGCCGCUGCUCGAGGUGGACACUAACAUCCAAGUCGAAAAGAACAAACCGCAUUUGCAGUCAUUUACAUCCUUUGUCUUUCUGUCUGUCGGGGUUUGACGGGAGGCACUGUGGUCCGCCCGAGGACAUGCUGGCUGACUUCAAAAUGGAGGAGAACAUCAUCGUGGGCAAAGUGUGCCUGUACAGAGCAACGAGAGGAAAACGUGGGGGCAGAGAGAUUCUGUGGCCGAGACUUUGAUGCAACUGCUGUGUGUGAGGUACCUGUGGCAAGAUUCUUAAGACGUGUGGGAAUGAUGGUUGUGAGCACAUGACCGGUGGACGGACUAUCAUUCUGGGGCCAACUGGUUGUAUCUUCGCCGCUGGAAUGUCAGGAGGAAUCACCUAUGUUCUUGAUAGGAAACGAGGAGUCAGUCCACCCUUCGACUGGUUACCAACCAAUAGACUUUACUUUCAUCCUGGAACAUCUCCAGAAGUUUGUUGAGCUGAUCUUGUCAGAGGUCGCUGCUAAGAUCCUUGCCAGCUGGGAUGAGGAAGUGUAGUGUUUCAUCAAGAUAUGCCCUUCUCAAAUGAAAGCCAAAACCUUGCCAGGCUGACCAAUGGAGUCGGAUAUAUGAAUGGUCCAACCAAUCAGAAUGAACCUCUGGAAAUCAGCUUGGAGAGACCAACCAAUAAGAAAACAGAACCCAAAGUGAUUGACAAUGAGGAGACCGUAUCCGAUUGGAGCAAGUUCAAAACAAAGGGUUUUGUGAAAUAUAAGAGGAACAGCCAACCUUAUCGGAAAGAGCAAUGCAAACGAAGGACUGGGGUGAAAUCUAUGACCACAAAGCCGUAAAGAAGGAACUACGUACCCAGCAGAAAGAUGUAUGGACUGUGACACCCCCUUCUGUCAAGGUCACACCGGCUGCCCCCGUGGCAAGAUCAUCCCUUCCUGGAAUGACCUCGUCUUCAGAGGUUGAGGCUGGAGGUCACCAACAACUUCCCAGAAUCCAGCGGGAGAUGGCUGCCCUGCUCCCUGUGAGGGAGCUUGUGUCCUGGGCAUCAAUGCACCAGCAGUCACCAUCAAGAACAUCGAGAAUGCCAUCAUCGACCAUGCCUUCAAGCAAGGCUGGAUGGAGCCCCGCCCCCCAACCUUCCGCACCGGUAAAACCUUGGCAAUUGUCAGGAGCGGGCCAUCAGGUCUAGUGGCCGCGGCCCAGCUGAAUAAAGCCGGUCACCAAGUGACAGUGUACGAGAGGAAUAACAGGAUUGGUGGUCUGUUGAUGUACGGGAUACCAACGAUGAAGGUCGGCAAGGCACAUCGAAUUAACGUGAUGGAGAUGAAGGGAUUCAGUUUUUGACCGAUGCCAACGGAGGCGCCACCGUCAGCCCCAAACAGCUCCUGCUAGACCAUGAUGCAUUGCUGCUCUGCCUAGGGUCCACACGCCCCUGAGACUUGCCCAUACCUGAUUGUGACCACGGUCAGUCGGUUGUGGUCCAAGCCAUCAAUGAGGGACAGCAGGUGGCGUGGGAGAUUCACCUAGACCUAAGGGUCACACAUCCUUGGCUGGCCCUGGAGGUGUGGUCUUCACCCCUGGUGUCAAAGUGGACAAGGCCAAGAUGGUGGCCAUCAAGAACCAGCCCAUGGUGGAAUGUGUGGCUUGAAGGGUCAGUGGAGAAUGUAAGGGGGGUGGGGCAAGAGAAAUGAAUAUUCAUGAGAUGAAGUCAUUGUUGCAUGUGAUUGGAUCGAGCCAGGUGUGGACAAUGUCAUUUUAUACAUAACUUUUAUCUUUCCAUUGUAUAGCGCACUCAGGCAGCAGUGCACGAAGGUGAUGGACCAAACUCAACUUGCUAGUUGUGAAUUUUUUCUUUCCUUCUCUGAAAUUAUCUUAGCUGGAGCAGAGACCAAAUUCGCCAUAAGUCCAAUAACGUACAAAAUUUCAUAGUAAUUUUCUGUUGUACGUGACCAAGUCGUGGUGAUAUGUUACCAUAGAAAUGAUUGUGCUGAUUACACAUCGUUGAUGUGGUGCCCGCCUGUGGUGUCAACUGAAAAACCAAUAAGGUCUACAACACGAUGAGUUUGAAUUCCACGGUGAAACCUUAUUUUGCUUUUUAAUGUUUCAGCAUAUUUCUCUGCUUGAAAUAGCUGUCAGCAAAUUGUGUAGUUGACUCUAGUUCAUUUUAAAAGUACAACGUAUUUCUUGUUCUCCAAGUAGUUCAGAUCGAUGAGAGACAGUGAGAUGCAUGAUGGUCUAGAAGGGAUGGGGCGGUGCCUCACUCAGAAAGGGGGGGGGCAGGUAAAAUACAAACAGUCAUUGCCUGAAAGAUUCCAAUGUUCAUGACUAGAUUUGUGAUGACAUGUUGGAGCUAGAUUCAUAUAUGGAGAGAGUAGUGUCAGCUUCAGGUUUUGGAAACAAAAGGGCUGUUCAUUAUGCCUACAGUAGAGCAUGCAGCUACUGUAAACCAGCUGUCUAUGUGCACCUGUGCAUACACCUGCCAGUUUGUGUCCAACCAUGGUGACACUCAUGUCACAACUCCCUCCUCACACAGCUCUGAUUGGAGGUGCCUCUCACCUUUGGUUGGCUGUAGUCAUCAGCUUUUCGUUGUACUUGGGUUCUAUGCUCAAUCAAUGCAAUGCCAAGGUAAAAACUGAAGUGAUUCGUUUUUCAUCUAUAAAUGCCCGUAACUGUGCUGACAGAGAUGAGCAGAAACUAACCAUGAAUAUUAGUCAGUUAUUUUCAGAUUUUGAAAUAUAGAUGUGUCUUCCAAUUAAUCUUUGGGUAAUCUUUUUUCUGCCUGCACUUCCAUGAAAUUUCUUUUACUUCUUUAAUCGCAAUACUUUCAAACAUUUGAAGUACUGUGGCAUUUGUUUUAAUGCUGCUCUUCUGAUUUGAUUUGGACGUGGAUGUGUGUCUGAGUUAUUGUGUUCAGCACAAAUAACUUGGACACUUCAUUGGUGAUGAAAAGGCAGAAGUUUAAGAACAUUUAUGAAACCUUCCUUUAUAAGUAUAUUUAGAAUAUAUAAAUUUCAAUUUAUCAUGUGAUCCUGCUUCCUGUUAAUAACAUUGACUUUUAAAUGAUUUUUCAAGUUCAUUCACACUGGUGUUGUCAAACGUCCAUUUAACAGUAACGUUUGCUUGACUCGUGUGAGAAGUCUUCAAUUCAAAAGGGUAUCAAGACACUGAAGUGAGAAAAUAUACGUAAACGUACAUUAUCUAUCUUUGAUGUUUGGAUCUCAGAAUUUCUCGAUAUGCAUUGUCUUCAGUGUAUGCCUUUUCACAUUACCCUCAAAAGGAAGUCUCACGCUAAUUCGGCGAAACCUUGCAAAAUGGCUCAAAUAGCAUGUUUGAAUUCCUAAUGCGUGUAAUGUGUCAGUACAGUGGUUGAUGGUAUCCGCAUUCUAUAUGUAAAGAUGAAUUGUACGUAAUAUUCUUUACAUGCUACAGUUGUGAAAACUGCUGAUAUUGUCUUUAAUAUGUUUGCCUUGUAACAAUUGUCAGAUAAUUGUACCUGUGUUCAUCACCUCAAAGGGGAUGUCCUGCAGGAACUGAAUACAGGGAAAAUCUUUUCCAAAUGACUUGAAAAAGACAAUACGGUCAUUAGAGUUUAACUUACUGCUUGUUUAAUAUUUCAGUAUGCCUCAUUAAAAAAAUCUGGGCACCUUCAACAUAGACAAUAGUUCCCUGCUGUGUCUAACGUCAUCCUGUGAAACCAAAUACUCCACAUUUUUGGCCUCAUAUUACUCUUGCAGGUGUCAUAAUAAAGUACCAAAAAUGGACCAGUGGUUGUAGCCUGAGACACAAGUCAGAAUGACACAAAGCUGUGACUUGAGAAAUUGGACUGCCUUUUGCUCAAGGAACUUGUAUGUAUAACAAACAAAGCUGUCAGGUGCCCGGUGAAGGGUUCUUUUAUACAUGUGACACCUCUAACGAAAGAUAAUUUUUGGUAUGUAAGAGACCUCCAGAUCUUAAUAUUGAU
This is a long non-coding RNA of Acanthaster planci (crown-of-thorns starfish), 4652 nucleotides long. Lineage: Eukaryota; Metazoa; Echinodermata; Asteroidea; Valvatida; Acanthasteridae. The record is from RefSeq and is a predicted model, not a curated record.